This is a long non-coding RNA of Malurus cyaneus samueli, 331 nucleotides long. Lineage: Eukaryota; Metazoa; Chordata; Aves; Passeriformes; Maluridae. The record is from Ensembl.
CAACCUUUGGCUGCUCCUUCAGGAUGCAGAGCCUGCAGAGUCAGCCCUGACCAUGUCGAUUGUGCCAACAGGGUGAGAAGGGACAAGCUGGUGACCCUGGUCUUCCUGGACUCCCUGGCCCAAAGGGAGAGAAGGGAAUUGCUGAGAAUGCCUUGGUGGGAGCUAAAGGAGAACCUGGCCCUCCAGGUCUGCCUGGACCCCCUGGACCAAAGGGAGAAGCUGGUGACGUUGGCCGGCCGGGUGCUGCAGGGUCACAGGGAGAAAAGGUACAGAGUGCUUCUUCAGGUUCCGAAGCUGCAGAUUUGUUCCUAUGUGUACAAAACUUAGCUGA